Molecule: ribosomal RNA, 465 nt
Filed under: Vreelandella stevensii
Lineage: Bacteria; Pseudomonadati; Pseudomonadota; Gammaproteobacteria; Oceanospirillales; Halomonadaceae
Description: partial 16S ribosomal RNA
Rfam family: Bacterial small subunit ribosomal RNA
Source: RNAcentral
CCUACGGGUGACAGCAGUGGGGAAUAUUGGACAAUGGGGGCAACCCUGAUCCAGCCAUGCCGCGUGUGUGAAGAAGGCCCUCGGGUUGUAAAGCACUUUCAGUGAGGAAGAACGCCUGGUGGUUAAUACCCAUCAGGAAAGACAUCACUCACAGAAGAAGCACCGGCUAACUCCGUGCCAGCAGCCGCGGUAAUACGGAGGGUGCGAGCGUUAAUCGGAAUUACUGGGCGUAAAGCGCGCGUAGGUGGCUUGAUAAGCCGGUUGUGAAAGCCCCGGGCUCAACCUGGGAACGGCAUCCGGAACUGUCAAGCUAGAGUGCAGGAGAGGAAGGUAGAAUUCCCGGUGUAGCGGUGAAAUGCGUAGAGAUCGGGAGGAAUACCAGUGGCGAAGGCGGCCUUCUGGACUGACACUGACACUGAGGUGCGAAAGCGUGGGUAGCAAACAGGAUUAGAUACCCGUGUAGUC